GGAGAGCAUCCUACGGGAGGCAGCAGUGGGGAAUAUUGCACAAUGGGCGCAAGCCUGAUGCAGCCAUGCCGCGUGUAUGAAGAAGGCCUUCGGGUUGUAAAGUACUUUCAGCAGUGAGGAAGGUGGGUAUGUUAAUAGCAUAUUCAUUUGACGUUAGCUGCAGAAGAAGCACCGGCUAACUCCGUGCCAGCAGCCGCGGUAAUACGGAGGGUGCGAGCGUUAAUCGGAAUUACUGGGCGUAAAGCGCAUGCAGGUGGUUUGUUAAGUCAGAUGUGAAAGCCCGGGGCUCAACCUCGGAAUUGCAUUUGAAACUGGCAAACUAGAGUACUGUAGAGGGGGUAGAAUUUCAGGUGUAGCGGUGAAAUGCGUAGAGAUCUGAAGGAAUACCGGUGGCGAAGGCGGCCCCCUGGACAGAUACUGACACUCAGAUGCGAAAGCGUGGGGAGCAAACAGGAUUAGAUACCCUGGUAG
Molecule: ribosomal RNA, 471 nt
Filed under: uncultured bacterium
Lineage: Bacteria
Description: bacterial SSU rRNA
Rfam family: Bacterial small subunit ribosomal RNA
Source: RNAcentral